Molecule: long non-coding RNA, 996 nt
Organism: Oncorhynchus kisutch (coho salmon)
Lineage: Eukaryota; Metazoa; Chordata; Actinopteri; Salmoniformes; Salmonidae
Exons: 3
Source: RefSeq, a predicted model, not a curated record
AGUACAGAGCUGUGGCCGAUGAUGAACUCCUGGGUGACCCAGCCCAGGUCAAGACAAACACCCAUCCAGGAUGUCACUGUGGCUGCGGUCCUCAGACUCAUAGGGCGCCUCGGCAGCUCGGAAUAAAGGAGAGAUGCGGCUCGUCUGUGAAGAACAUCGCCAGGGUCAUCAACACAUUCGCCAGACACGGACAGUCAGAAGGUGUUCCCUGGGAGGUCCAGCUGGCAGCUGUCUACACUGUCUACGACCUGUCGCCUAGCAACCCCAAGGAGGCUCUGGCUGCGCUGGCGUCAUGGCGAGGAGAGACCACCCAGCCCGUCCCUCCCGCUGUCACCAGCUGCAUCACACAGAUCGCCUCGCUCUGCCGACACAUCAAACCCUAGUCCCUAAAACCUAGCUCCUAACCCCUAGUCCCUUAAACAUAGCUCCUAUUCCCUAGACUUUAACCCCUGGCUCCUAACCCCUAGCUCCUAACCCCUAGUCCCUUAAACGUAACUCCUAUUCCCUAGUCUUUAACCCCUCCACACCCCUAACCACUAGUUCCUAAUCCCUAGUCCUUAACCCUUCCACACUCCUAACCCUUAUCUCCUAACCCCUAGCUCUUUAACCCCUAGUCCUCAACACCUCCCCACCCCUAACCCCUAGCUCCUUAACCCCUAGUCCUUAACACCUACCCACCCCUAACCCCUAGUCCUUAACACCUCCACACCCCUAACCCCUAGCUCCUUAUCCCUCCUAAUCCCUAGCUCCUAACCCCUCCUAAUCCCUAGCGCCUAACCCCUAACCCCUCCUAAUCCCUAGUCCUUAACACCUCCACACCCCUAACCCAUAGCUCCUAACCCCUAGUCCUUAACCCCUCCACACCCCUAACCACUAAUUCCUAAUCCCUAGUCCUUAACCCUUCCACACCCCUAAUCCCUAGCUCCUAACCCCUCCUAAUCCCUAGCUCCUAACCCCUCCUAAUCCCUAGCUCCUAACCCCUCCUAAUCCCUAGCU